Molecule: ribosomal RNA, 246 nt
Filed under: uncultured prokaryote
Description: partial 16S ribosomal RNA
Rfam family: Bacterial small subunit ribosomal RNA
Source: RNAcentral
UGAGGGAAAACAUAGCGACAGUACCUCAUGAAUAAGGGGCUGCUAAUCACGUGCCAGCAGCAGCGGUAAUACGUGAGCCCCAAGCGUUAUCCGGAAUUACUGGGCGUAAAGAGUGCGUAGGCGGUUGUGUUAGUCUUCUGUUUAAUCCAUCGGCUCAACCGGUGAACCGCAGAGGAAACGGCACAACUGGAGUGUGUGAGAGGUGAGCGGAACUCAUGGUGUAGGGGUGAAAUCCGUUGAUAUCAU